CUCAGGGUGGAGACUUUGUGGUACAGAGCUGGAGAGAGCCAUUUGAGGGCUUUGUGGAGCUCAGAGUAUGCCUGAUUUGGGCAAGGACUGGUGGAAAACUGCCCCUCCAGGGUCACAGCCAAGGAGUGGCCUACAGUUGAAGACUAGAUAGGAAGCUUAGAGGAAGGCUGGAAAUCCAGGACAGGGACAGGAAAAAGAGAGGCAGAGGAGACACCAGUUGCCACCACACAAAGCAACAUGUGAAAGCACUGGCAUAUUCGUGUCCUAAAGGUGACGUAAAAGGAAAGAUCCAGACAACUGAAAAUAUAAGAAUGCAGAACAACUGGAGAGAGGCCUUUGAACGUGAGAAAUGGAAUGAAGUGACAAGGAAUCAAAUACUCACCUGAAGAUACUUCAGAACGGUGACACCUGAAGAGAGACAUGGGAGAGAAUGGUUAAAAAGAGCAGGUUAAUAUUUUACAAUGAGCAGAGAUUAUUUAAAGAGUAAUUCUCUGGCGAGAUGAAAAAGGAAGUGAAAUUGAGAAAUGGUGCUUCAUAGAGCAGCAGGACAGCAGUGCUCCAGAGGAUAUAAAGAAGGAAAAGUGAAUAAUAAAGACACUGAACUAUUUUGGAUUAUAAAGAUGUAUGAUGAGGCACCCACGGCAUUCAAACUUGAUCUUUCUCUCUCUCCAUAUCACUGUGUCUCAUAUAUAUAUGGGGGGGCAGAGAACAUGUUUAUAACUUUUUUAGUUUUAUGGCAAACUUAAAACUGGUCUCAAAAGAAACAUUAUACUUUUUAUUUUUAAAUGUUGCAAAUUCAAAUGUUCCCUCUAGUUAAUAGGAGAAAUUCAGGUGUGAGGGAA
Peromyscus maniculatus bairdii (prairie deer mouse) is the source of this 842-nucleotide non-coding RNA. The record is from RefSeq and is a predicted model, not a curated record. Lineage: Eukaryota; Metazoa; Chordata; Mammalia; Rodentia; Cricetidae.